This 234-nucleotide ribosomal RNA is filed under the name uncultured bacterium. Its description in RNAcentral is "partial 16S ribosomal RNA". It matches the Rfam family "Bacterial small subunit ribosomal RNA", at positions 335 to 560 of the family's 1533-position model. The record is from RNAcentral.
ACUCCUACGGGAGGCAGCAGUGGGAAUAUUGGACAAUGGGGGACCGUAGCAUCCAGCCAUGCCGCGCUGUGUGAAGAAGGCCUUAUGGUUGUAAAGCACUUUAAGCGAGGAGGAGGCUACUGAGACUAAUACUCUUGGAUAGUGGACGUUACUCGCAGAAUAAGCACCGGCUAACUCUGUGCCAGCAGCCGCGGUAAUACAGAGGGUGCGAGCGUUAAUCGGAUUUACUGGGCG